CAAGACAACUUUACGGAGUUGACGAUUGACGGAGCGAAGCGACGUCAAAGCGUUCAUUAAAGUCGAGUUGGCUUAGGGAUACGUUCGUUGGGUAGGGGAGCGUUCUGUAAGCCUGUGAAGGUGUGUCGUGAGGCAUGCUGGAGGUAUCAGAAGUGCGAAUGCUGACAUAAGUAACGAUAAAGCGGGUGAAAAGCCCGCUCGCCGGAAGACCAAGGGUUCCUGUCCAACGUUAAUCGGGGCAGGGUGAGUCGACCCCUAAGGCGAGGCCGAAAGGCGUAGUCGAUGGGAAACGGGUUAAUAUUCCCGUACUUGGUGUUACUGCGAAGGGGGGACGGAGAAGGCUAUGUUGGCCGGGCGACGGUUGUCCCGGUUUAAGCGUGUAGGUGUGUGUUCCAGGUAAAUCCGGUUCACUUUAACACUGAGGCGUGACGACGAGGCACUACGGUGCUGAAGCAACAAAUGCCCUGCUUCCAGGAAAAGCCUCUAAGCAUCAGGUAACAUCAAAUCGUACCCCAAACCGACACAGGUGGUCAGGUAGAGAAUACCAAGGCGCUUGAGAGAACUCGGGUGAAGGAACUAGGCAAAAUGGUGCCGUAACUUCGGGAGAAGGCACGCUGACACGUAGGUGAAGUGAUUUACUCACGGAGCUGAAGUCAGUCGAAGAUACCAGCUGGCUGCAACUGUUUAUUAAAAACACAGCACUGUGCAAACACGAAAGUGGACGUAUACGGUGUGACGCCUGCCCGGUGCCGGAAGGUUAAUUGAUGGGGUCAGCGCAAGCGAAGCUCCUGAUCGAAGCCCCGGUAAACGGCGGCCGUAACUAUAACGGUCCUAAGGUAGCGAAAUUCCUUGUCGGGUAAGUUCCGACCUGCACGAAUGGCGUAAUGAUGGCCAGGCUGUCUCCACCCGAGACUCAGUGAAAUUGAACUCGCUGUGAAGAUGCAGUGUACCCGCGGCAAGACGGAAAGACCCCGUGAACCUUUACUAUAGCUUGACACUGAACAUUGAGCCUUGAUGUGUAGGAUAGGUGGGAGGCUUUGAAGUGUGGACGCCAGUCUGCAUGGAGCCGACCUUGAAAUACCACCCUUUAAUGUUUGAUGUUCUAACGUGGACCCGUAAUCCGGGUUGCGGACAGUGUCUGGUGGGUAGUUUGACUGGGGCGGUCUCCUCCUAAAGAGUAACGGAGGAGCACGAAGGUUGGCUAAUCCUGGUCGGACAUCAGGAGGUUAGUGCAAUGGCAUAAGCCAGCUUGACUGCGAGCGUGACGGCGCGAGCAGGUGCGAAAGCAGGUCAUAGUGAUCCGGUGGUUCUGAAUGGAAGGGCCAUCGCUCAACGGAUAAAAGGUACUCCGGGGAUAACAGGCUGAUACCGCCCAAGAGUUCAUAUCGACGGCGGUGUUUGGCACCUCGAUGUCGGCUCAUCACAUCCUGGGGCUGAAGUAGGUCCCAAGGGUAUGGCUGUUCGCCAUUUAAAGUGGUACGCGAGCUGGGUUUAGAACGUCGUGAGACAGUUCGGUCCCUAUCUGCCGUGGGCGCUGGAGAACUGAGGGGGGCUGCUCCUAGUACGAGAGGACCGGAGUGGACGCAUCACUGGUGUUCGGGUUGUCAUGCCAAUGGCACUGCCCGGUAGCUAAAUGCGGAAGAGAUAAGUGCUGAAAGCAUCUAAGCACGAAACUUGCCCCGA
This 1683-nucleotide ribosomal RNA is filed under the name Salmonella enterica. RNAcentral's name for it is "partial 23S ribosomal RNA". It matches the Rfam family "Bacterial large subunit ribosomal RNA", at positions 1163 to 2802 of the family's 2925-position model. The record is from RNAcentral. Lineage: Bacteria; Pseudomonadati; Pseudomonadota; Gammaproteobacteria; Enterobacterales; Enterobacteriaceae. RNAcentral also lists the same sequence under 1 other name.